UAAAAUUCACUGAAUUGUUUUUUUUUUUUUACAUUUCAUAUAUAUUCAUCUAUAAAUAUAUAAUUUUAUAAUAUUAAUAAUCAUCUAUAAAUAUAUAUUUUAUAAUAUUAAAAAUUAUAUAUAAAUAUAAAGUUUUAAUUAAAAAAAUUUAAAAAUCGCAUGAUUAUUUUAUAUUAAGGGGGAGGUAAUCUCACAUCUUUAUCUAAAAAAUGGCAGAAUUCACAAAUACAAAUUUCAACUUUAGCCUACAGAAUAGAAGAAAUGUAACUGCAACAGUUACAAUUGCAUAGAAUCAAACAUGCUAGGUUACGAUUGCAGUAUUUGCAACUGCAUGUAUUUUCAACUACAUAAUUAUUGCAACUAUAUCCAAUCAAACUGCCGCCCCUUAGUAAUCUUAUAUAGCACGGCCCAAACAACCCCUUAGAUUUAUUUGAGAUGGC
This 440-nucleotide long non-coding RNA is filed under the name Ananas comosus (pineapple). RNAcentral's name for it is "long non-coding RNA (ACOM_LNC003006)". Lineage: Eukaryota; Viridiplantae; Streptophyta; Magnoliopsida; Poales; Bromeliaceae. The record is from RNAcentral.